Molecule: non-coding RNA, 251 nt
Organism: Pelobates cultripes (western spadefoot toad)
Lineage: Eukaryota; Metazoa; Chordata; Amphibia; Anura; Pelobatidae
Source: the annotation of a GenBank genome assembly
CUGUAAAUGUUAUAAUACAGUUAGUUUUUACUGUAAUUGAAACAUUUGUAUGUCCAACGAGUACAACUAUGCUCCCCAUGUACAGGUUUCAAGUUGUUUUGGAAAGUUACUGGGUAAAAUAUAUGGCUUGCAAAUUAGAUUUUCUGGAAUUUCUUCCAUGUUGUCAUGUAAGUCCCCAAAUAUAUAAUUAUAUAUGAUUAUUUAUUAGGGACUUAUUUUACAACCCAGGCAGAAAUUACAGAGAAUUUAAU